This 429-nucleotide ribosomal RNA is filed under the name uncultured bacterium. RNAcentral's name for it is "bacterial SSU rRNA". It matches the Rfam family "Bacterial small subunit ribosomal RNA", at positions 355 to 799 of the family's 1533-position model. The record is from RNAcentral.
UGGGGAAUCUUCCGCAAUGGGCGAAAGCCUGACGGAGCAACGCCGCGUGAGGGAUGAAGGCCUCUGGGCUGUAAACCUCUUUUAUCAAGGAAGAAGAUCUGACGGUACUUGAUGAAUAAGCCACGGCUAAUUCCGUGCCAGCAGCCGCGGUAAUACGGGAGAGGCAAGCGUUAUCCGGAAUUAUUGGGUGUAAAGCGUCCGCAGGCGGCCCAGAAAGUCUGCUGUUAAAAAGUGGAGCUUAACUCCAUCAAGGCAGUGGAAACUGUUGGGCUUAAGUGUGGUAGGGGCAGAGGGAAUUCUCGGUGUAGCGGUGAAAUGCGUAGAUAUCGGGAAGAACACCAGUGGCGAAGGCGCUCUGCUGGGCCAUCAUUGACGCUCAUGGACGAAAGCCAGGGGAGCGAAAGGGAUUAGAUACCCCUGUAGUCAAUC